RNAcentral lists this ribosomal RNA (304 nucleotides) under uncultured bacterium. RNAcentral describes it as "partial 16S ribosomal RNA". It matches the Rfam family "Bacterial small subunit ribosomal RNA", at positions 506 to 809 of the family's 1533-position model. The record is from RNAcentral.
CAGCAGUAGCCGCGGGAAUACGAAGGGGGCUAGCGUUGCUCGGAAUCACUGGGCGUAAAGGGUGCGUAGGCGGGUUUUUAAGUCAGAGGUGAAAUCCUGGAGCUCAACUCCAGAACUGCCUUUGAUACUGAAAGUCUUGAGUAUGGGAGAGGUGAGUGGAACUGCGAGUGUAGAGGUGAAAUUCGUAGAUAUUCGCAAGAACACCAGUGGCGAAGGCGGCUCACUGGCCCAUAACUGACGCUGAGGCACGAAAGCGUGGGGAGCAAACAGGAUUAGAUACCUGAGUAGUCCCUGUCUCUUAUAA